AUUCAAAUAUGAUGCCAGUUUUUAUAAGAAAUUUGAGCAUCCACAGAUUUUGAGAUCUGUAGGAGGUCCUGCAGCUAAUCCUCCAAAUAUUCAGGGAGGGCCAUAAAGAGAAACAGAGAUCCCAGGAGAUACAAGGUAAAUUGGUGGCAUAAGAACUGGAAUAUUAGCACAUUUCAUCCAUGCCUUAAGAGAACGUAAGACUUCAAAUUAUUUUAGAGCAGUUUCAUUCAGUGGGCAUGACUUUUCCUGUUGGGGACAUAGAGGCCAACACUACAUUAAAACAUCCUUCAAUGCAUAAGACAGCCCCAAACCAAAAAAUGAGCCAGCCCCAGGUGUCAAAAGUUCUGAGGCUGAGAACUCUGCUUCAAGGUUGCUUUUGGGCACUUAAGCAAAUGAAGCCCCAGAUAAGAGGGUACUGGAAGUUUCACUCCAGAUGGAGUGCUUGCUAGGAAGCAGCCUAGAUAUAAUCCUGUGACUGAGGCUGGUGUGGUUUUCCUGUGAGUAUGUCUGAGGCCCUCUGCAGCCUUGGCGAGAACAGAACACUGAGCCAUAGGAAGCACUUAGCCUGUGGUGGGCCAGGGGGGCGUUCUGCUAAGCACUCGCUGACCCGUGAGAGAAGUGAUGGGGAUGAGUCUGGGCAACAUCAGGAGAAGAGAAGGAGGCCGAGGCUCCUCGGGGGCAUGAGGGCAGAGAGCAGGAAGUCCUCUAUGACUUUGGGCUUUGGGGGGCAGGUUUCCAAACUGGAAAUCAUCUGAAGUCUGUUGGGUUCCAUUUCUCCCCACACAGUAAAAUCACCUGAGAGGUGUUUUAAAGUCAGAUGACCCAGGCCCCACCUUCACAGCCGGUGAACAUUAGUCUGACUUGGGGCCCCAACACUGGAAUUUUAAAAGCUCCCCCAGGUACUCUGGAUUGAGAACUGCCA
RNAcentral lists this long non-coding RNA (922 nucleotides) under Marmota monax (woodchuck). Lineage: Eukaryota; Metazoa; Chordata; Mammalia; Rodentia; Sciuridae. The record is from RNAcentral.